GUUACCAGUAAAACCACAAACAAAGAAAUUCACUCGAGUCCUUCAUAUAUUUAGACGAAAUGUUAGUUUAUUUUGUGAAAAUAAAUGGUCAUUACAAACAAGGCAUUGUUAUUAAAAGUGAAUUAAUCUAUUCUAUUGAUUCAGGCUACGUUUUAGCCACCCAAUUGAUGGACCCAAAACAUUGAAGCGUGUAUGACGUCGACAGGGCGGUUUGGCUCAAGUGUCAUUUGAUCGUUCAAAUAGAGUAGUACAGAGCCGUUAAAUAUGAGAGUUGCGACACUCUUUGAUCUCGCCGCCACGCUGUCACGUGGUUCAUGUAGCUCUCAAUAGUUCCAAACAAAUCCGCGCUGUCAACCAGUUUGAAUGGUUUUAAGCGGGACAGACAGCAGCAACUAUAUUUGCAGCAAUUAUCGGAAUUGGCCAGCCACUUCUGACCAGACUUCUCCAGACGGUAGAUGGAUGUACCAGGGUCCCCCAGUUUUCAAGGUUUGCAAGGCAAGUAAGCAUGUUGUGUCUUUCAUCUGCUGCAGUAAGUUUCUUUGGCUGACACUGCUGACCAGUCCUCAAUUUCUUUGUGCUUCUUCAACAGAGCUUUGGCAGCACAUCUGAAGCAGCACAUCUGCCUUGUGUCUUAUUGCUGCGUCUUGCUGUGGUAUAUGUUUUUUCACAGUAAACUGUCUUCAGCAACCUUGUUAGCUGAGUUUGGCUGUUUCUCACCCAGUUGUGUUAACAUUACUGCAUAUAUUGUUUGUAUUGAAAAUUGUAUUUUGAUGCUUUGGAAACAUUGUUCUUAUAACUUUCAUGCCAAUAAAGCCCCUUGAAUUGAA
Long non-coding RNA from Ctenopharyngodon idella (grass carp), 827 nucleotides. RefSeq lists it as uncharacterized. The record is from RefSeq and is a predicted model, not a curated record. Lineage: Eukaryota; Metazoa; Chordata; Actinopteri; Cypriniformes; Xenocyprididae. The transcript has 2 exons.